UGGGAGGGAUACUGAGGCUACUGGGAGGGUUACUGGGGGCACUGGGGGGCACUGGGGAUACUGGGAGCGGCAUUGGGAAGGGCAUUGGGGAUGCUGGGAGGCACUGGGAGGAGCUGGGGAUGCUGGGAGGGGCAUCGGGGUUACUGGGAAUAUUGGGGAAUACCGGGGGGGCACUGGGGGUACUGGGAGGCACUAGGGGGAUACUGGGAGGUACUGGGAAGUGCUGGGAAGUACUGGGAAGUGCUGGGAGGGGUGCUGGGAGGCACUGGGAAGACACUGGGGGAGCACUGGGCAUACUGGUGGCAUACUGGUGCCUUACUGGUGUUACUGGUUCCCAGGCUACGUGCGGGUGCUGCUGGCGGCCGCCGCCUUCGUGCUGAUGCCGCAGGAGCCGGGCCCGGCGGCCGCCUGUUACCUGCUCAGCGCCCUCCUGGACGCCGUGGACGGGCUGGCGGCCAGGAUGCUGGGGCAGGGUUCCCAGCUGGGCGCCAUGCUGGACAUGCUGCCCCUCCCCCUCCUGGAGUCCCCUCCCCCUUCUAUAAGCCCCUCCCCCUCUGACAAGCCCCGCCCCCUUU
RNAcentral lists this long non-coding RNA (575 nucleotides) under Anas platyrhynchos platyrhynchos (common mallard). RNAcentral describes it as "lncRNA (ENSAPLG00000025700.1)". The record is from RNAcentral. Lineage: Eukaryota; Metazoa; Chordata; Aves; Anseriformes; Anatidae.